This 253-nucleotide ribosomal RNA is filed under the name uncultured bacterium. RNAcentral's name for it is "partial 16S ribosomal RNA". It matches the Rfam family "Bacterial small subunit ribosomal RNA", at positions 524 to 776 of the family's 1533-position model. The record is from RNAcentral.
GACGUAGGGCGCGAGCGUUGUCCGGAUUUAUUGGGCGUAAAGAGCUCGUAGGCGGCUUGUCGCGUCGUUCGUGAAAACCUGCAGCUCAACUGCAGGCUUGCGGUCGAUACGGGCAGGCUAGAGUUCGGUAGGGGAGACUGGAAUUCCUGGUGUAGCGGUGAAAUGCGCAGAUAUCAGGAGGAGCACCGGUGGCGAAGGCGGGUCUCUGGACAGUUCCUGACGCUGAGGCACGAAGGUCAGGGGAGCAAACGGG